GACGAACGCUGGCGGCGUGCUUAACACAUGCAAGUCGAACGGAAAGGCCUGCUUUCCCUUGUGGAUUGCGGGUACUCGAGUGGCGAACGGGUGAGUAACACGUGAGUGAUCUGCCCCCAACCUGGGUAUAAGCCUGGGAAACUGGGUCUAAUUCCCGAUAGGACCGCAGGGUGGUGCCUGUGGUGGAAAACGAUUCUCUAGGGGUUGGGGAUGAGCUCGCGGCCGAUCAGCUUGAUGGUGGGGUAAUGGCCUACCAGGGCGGCGUCGGGUAGCCGGCCUGGGAGGGUGGACGGCCCCAUGGGGCCGGGGAUACGGCCCAGACUCCUACGGGAGGCAGCAGUGGGGAAUAUUGCACACUGGGCGGAAGCCUGAUGCAGCGACGCCGCGUGGGGGAUGACGGCCUUCGGGUUGUAAACUCCUUUCGACCGCGAGGAAGCCACCUGGUUGGAAGGGUGGUGACGGUAGUGGUAGAAGAAGCACCGGCUAACUACGUG
This 494-nucleotide ribosomal RNA is filed under the name uncultured bacterium. Its description in RNAcentral is "partial 16S ribosomal RNA". It matches the Rfam family "Bacterial small subunit ribosomal RNA", at positions 28 to 507 of the family's 1533-position model. The record is from RNAcentral.